This 216-nucleotide ribosomal RNA is filed under the name Glomeromycotina sp. Its description in RNAcentral is "partial small subunit ribosomal RNA". The stretch from base 40 to 216 matches the Rfam family "Eukaryotic small subunit ribosomal RNA", at positions 686 to 864 of the family's 1831-position model. The record is from RNAcentral. Lineage: Eukaryota; Fungi; Glomeromycota.
GGGUCAGUAGGUUGGUCGUGCCACCGGUACGUACUGGUCUCACUGAUUCCUCCUUCCUGAAGAACCGUAAUGCCAUUAAUUUGGUGUUGCGGGGAAACAGGACUGUUACUUUGAAAAAAUUAGAGUGUUUAAAGCAAGCUAACACUUGAAUACAUUAGCAUGGAAUAAUGAAAUAGGACGAUCGAUCCUAUUUUGUUGGUUCCUAGGAUUGACGUA